This 465-nucleotide ribosomal RNA is filed under the name uncultured bacterium. Its description in RNAcentral is "partial 16S ribosomal RNA". It matches the Rfam family "Bacterial small subunit ribosomal RNA", at positions 338 to 795 of the family's 1533-position model. The record is from RNAcentral.
CCUACGGGAGGCAGCAGUGGGGAAUUUUGGACAAUGGGCGCAAGCCUGAUCCAGCUAUUCCGCGUGUGGGAUGACUGCCCUCGGGUUGUAAACCUCUUUAGUAGAGGACGAAAAGUAGCUAUCGAAUAAAUAUCUCUACUGACGGUACUCUAAGAAUAAGCACCGGCUAACUACGUGCCAGCAGCCGCGGUAAUACGUAGGGUGCGUGCGUUAAUCGGAAUUACUGGGCGUAAAGGGGGUGCAGGCGGCUGAGUAAGACAGAUGUGAAAUCCCCGGGCUUAACCUGGGAACUGCAUAUGUGACUGGCAGGCUUGAGUGCGGUAGAGGGAGGUGGAAUUCCAGGUGUAGCAGUGAAAUGCGUAGAUAUCUGGAAGAACACCGAUGGCGAAGGCAGCUUCCUGAGACGCAACUGACGCUGAUACACGAAAGCGUGGGGAGCAAACAGGAUUAGAUACCCUUGUAGUC